Molecule: long non-coding RNA, 1172 nt
Filed under: Homo sapiens (human)
Lineage: Eukaryota; Metazoa; Chordata; Mammalia; Primates; Hominidae
Description: HSALNT0324890
Source: RNAcentral
CCUCGCCGGUCGCCGCGGCAGCCAGUGAUGCCCGAGCGGCGGGUUCCCAGGCCCAGGUGUGGGCGCCACCGCCCACCAUGCGCCAAGCCCAGAGCCUGGUUGAAUCGUUCGCCACCUUGUCUACCCAUUUUGGCCAUUAUCCUGCCACCUCCAAAUCCUGUUUUUGACACUUCUCGGGAGAGAGAGAAAACGGAAAGAUAAAGGAAUAAACUCCUCGUGGUCGUAGUUAGUGGGUAAAUUCAGAUCUCGUUUGAACCGAGGUUUUUCUUAUCUCCAGCCACCGUAUCCACCACCACCAGAAUCGUCUUUUUAGUCAUCACAGCUGGUCGCCGUCAGUACCUUGUUCAGAAGCCUCUCGCAGCUUCCAUCGUGUGGUUAUACAAUCCAAAUUCCUUAUAAAGUCCAAAUUCAAGAGGAGGAAUGCACGUUUAGUUAAGUUAAUGUCUAGACCUUACCAGCCAAUUUCUAGCUCCUCAGUAUGGAAAUUGCAACUGAAAACACCCCUUCCAAAAAAAGCAGUCUGCAUUUUUCUCUGAGUUUUCUUCUCCAAAUUUCGCACCCCUGACCUUGCUUACACACUCUGGAUACCACCUGCUGUGGAGUGGCGGAAGCAGACAUCCAGCGAUAGCUAAGUUUCCUGUCGUUGACACCCAAGCAAGACAGGCGUGUACCUAACUGAGGACCUGCCGGUGAUAGAAGUCUCAGCUUUUCUCAGAGACAGAUGAGUCUUCCCUUUAAAUGCUGCAAAGUGCUGCAUAGUAGAUGUUAAAUGAAAGUCAGAAAGAAUCAAAUGUGCUGCAAAUAAUUGAAGGCCACCAGGAACACACCUGUAGCUCAGCAAAGUUGAAGCCAUCGACUGGCUCAUCACAACAAGGAAGGCUGUGCACCACCAGGACCCAGCAGCAGCUCAGCAGCAGCAGUGAGAGGGCCUUGGGAAAGACUUGGAGGGUUUGGCUUAUACAAGGUGAUCUUGGGGAGGGCCAAGGAAACAGGCUGUGAUGGUUAAUAUUGAGUGUCAACUUGAUUGGAUUGAAGGAUGCAAAGGAUUAUUCCUGGGUGUAUAUGUGAGAGUGUGGCCAAAGGAGAUUAACUUUUUAAUCAGUGGACUGGGAGAGGCACACCCACCCUCAAUCUGGGUGGGCAUCAUCUAAUCAGCUGCCACAGCAGCUAAA